UCCAAGGAUUGAAACAUGCGUAUUUUGCUUUUAAGACUCCAUUAGAAAGCCCUUUUCUGGAAAGCAGUUCCUAUAGCGACAAUACUUCAAAGUCCUUGGAAGCUCACUUUGAACAAACGAACAAGCAAGAAUUGUGACUGUGUGACAAGGGCUCAGAAGCCAGCGGCAGGCAGUCUGGGUCAGGCAGGAGGGCACUGGAUUAGAACAGUAUGAGGGGGCACAAGAGAUGGUGGUGUGGCGCAUGGAUUAAGGGUGCUGAGUGAUUUCCUAGUGAAGAGAAGUUAAAGCUAUUAGUCGAAGUCACUCUUCAUAGUUCAAUGUGUGUAGUAAGCUAAGUGUAUAGCAUGCUUGGUAUGGGGGUGGGGUUCAGUCAUUCUCAACAAAUAUUUUUUAUUUAUCUGUAAAGAGAUGAGUUGAAAAACCAUUUUAUACCUGGUUGUAUACAGUUCCAGGAGUUGGAAUGACCUCCAGUGAUUAUCAGAGUCAAAAUUCUGGGUUCAAUUUGGCAAUAGUUUAUCAAAUGCCUAAAAAUGUUCCAAACUUGAACAUGAAUUUGGGACUCUCCUAACUAAUACAGAUAGGUGUGCAAGCAUUGAUGUUUAGAGAUGUUUUAGAGUCAGCUUAAACUGAUAAUGCAAUGCUACAUAGGCCAAAAAAUGUCAAAUGAUUCUUUCUUACUCAGGAAGCAGUUCAAAAGUAAGAUUCCAGGCUGGCAGACGACUUUUGUCCAGGAAGUAAUUCAGGGAUCCAGCCUCCUUCCAUCCUGUGGCCUUGUUGUUUCCUAGGGCCUUGCCACGUUUUGCAUCUAGUGGACAGAAGGGGAGAGACAAGGUUGGACUUGUGCUCCCUGCUCUCACUUGUUUGGCUGGGCAUUCGGCACCAUCCUCUACCUCAUGAGGAAUCCAAAGAUUAAACGUGUGAGCCCUGCCUUCCCAGAAUUUGAAGUCUGAGAGGAGAGAGAAGGCAUUUUUAAAAGACAGCAUGUAAAUAAACAUCAUAAGAAUACUUCAGAGUUUUCUGAAAAGGUGGCUCAAAAGUGAUAAUGUUGAAGAGUCUACACAGAUGCACAGCAACAGGACGUUACAGACAUUUUACAGCCGCACAGUGUGUGAGAACACUGGGUUCUGGCAUGUGCUCUUCCAGACACUGUUGUAUGGUCUGCUCAGUGCCCAUCACCCAGGGCUGACCUGGGAGAUACUGUAGAUUAAAUGCAGGAUUUCUUCUUUUUCAUUUAUUAGAUUGUAGGGCACUGCUGCAUGAAGCCAGAAAUUCAAAGUUGCUAUAUUACAUCCUCUCCCAGUUGUGAGUUUGAAUUAUGGAGAUACAGAUAAGCCCUCUUUCUAAAUACCUACUGUGUACCAGACGCUGAGCUAAAGGCUUUACGUGUACCAUUUCGUUCACUCUCGGCAACAAUCCUGUGAUCAUUAUUCCCGAUUCCCGACUAGGGACGUAAGUAUCCAGAGAAGUUACUUUCCUAAGAUCUUAGCUAUCGAGUCAUGGAGCAGAUGUUCAGUCCAGUUUCCUUCUCUUAUUACUGCACAGGAUGAAGGGCAUGCAAAGCAGUACUUACUCUUGAAAAUUAGAAAAAAAAAAAGUGUACCACAGGAUUCAGUGUUUCCAGAAAAGAAGUCUGUCUGGCUGGCUCUUUUUUGAAGAAUGCUAGAUUGUCUAUGAAAAUUUAAAAAAGGCAAAGUUACUUUCUGAUAAUGUGGCUGAAGACAGUUACUACCUGUCUGCUGAGAACAAGUAAACUUCCACCCCCGGCGCCCUCCCUGCCGCUGGAUUUUGCGACGCAAGGUCUGCAUGUGCCCUUGCCUUCCCCAGCUCUGGUGUGUGUGUGUUCUUGGCAGCUUGGCUCCGUCAGCUAUUUUUCCAUAAAAGGUUCUGCCAUGGCCAUUGGCUUCCUCCAUGGAGAGGAUGCCAGGGGCCCAUUUCUUCAAUCUGUCCUCUAGCUUGAAACCCACACAAAUGUGUCACUUCCGAAUUUCCAUGUAACCUUGGGGUUGAGGAAUGUCAGUUGUUUUUUCCUGUUCUUUCUGGAAAUCUUUGUUUUAAAUCAGAGAGGAAAAAGCUAUUCAGGUGCUCUUAAGAUUUUUUAAAAGCUCCGUCUGGUGUUGGUAAAUGAUUGCGAGUGAUGAAGUUCCCCUGACAACGCGGGUGUCAUGGUCACAAGUGCACCGGGGUUGAGGUGCAGGGGUGAGCUCGAGGAGGCCAAGGACCGAGGUGGAUGGAGGAAGAAAGGCACGUGACCGGUGGGUGCCCCUCCGUUUGUACUCUUGUAGCCUUCUGCCCUCCCCUCCGGGCACUGAGAUUGCUGGUUCUCUGUCGUCUUCCCUGUGAUUGCGACUCCUGCAGGCAGCAUGUGAUAUUUACCAGGUGUUCCACAAACCUUUAUGGAGUGAAUGAAUGAGUGAAUGAGAGCUCUGAUCGCCCAUGCAGGCUAGAUAAAUCAGUAUCUCAGAACUCGCCUUGCUUCCCCCUUUAAAAUGGAAUGGACUGAGGAGCAAGGCAAUUUGUUUGGGUUUUUUUAAUUGAGGUGUAGUCGAUUUACAAUGUUAGUUUCAGGUGUACAGCAAAGCGAUUCAGUUAUACAUAUUCAUACACGUAUAUGUAUAUUUUCAGAUUCUUUUUCAUUACAGCUCAUUACAAAGAAUUGAAUAUACUUCCUUGUGCUCUACAGUAGGUCCUUGUUAUUUAUCUACUUUAUAUACAGGAAUGUGGGUCUGUUAAUCCCAGACUCCUAAUCUAUCCCUCCGCCCUUCCCCCCUGAGAACCACAGUUCCGUUUGGUUUGAUAUUUACAUGCUCAGAGCUGUACUGUAAUGUUAUGCUCUAACAAGGUUUUCUUCCCGGCUCCUCCUGAGAUUCUAACUCAGUUGGCCUGGGGUGGGCAGAUGGAAAUCAGUAUUUUGUAAAAAGCUCCCUAGGAGUUUCUUUCCUUUCUUUUCUUAUUCUUUCUUUCUUUCUUUCUUUCUUUUUUUAAUGGAGGUACUGGGAAUUGCUAAGCAUACACUGAGCUGUAUCCUCCCCACCCCCUAGGAGUUUCUACUGAGCAAUCAGGGUUGAAAACCACCAUUCCACAUAUACUUAGAGGAAUUAGUACCUUAUGGCUGAUGGAGCACUUGGAUGGGUUAUGUCCUGCAGAAUCCAAACCUUGUGGGGAAAAGCUGUUGGCUCCCCAAAAAGUUUACCCAAAGGCAGGAGACAAGGACAUUUUCUGGAAGCUCCAUUCAGAUGCUCAACUCCAUUCUGGUUAAGUGACUGCUCCUCUGUGGGACAUCUCAGCAAGUAUUUAACUGGCACCUUAGGUGGAUUCUUCUGAGAGCCUCAGCGUCUUUCCUACAUCAGCUUUCUCCUUCCAACGUCCUAGUCUAAGAGCAAUGGCUUAUUGGACAAACCUGAGAAUCUGUUAAAUGUAUAGACACGGCUUCCUGGUAGAAAUGCUGAAUUGAAGACACCGGGGUUAGAAUAUAUAUAUCUUGCUCUGAAAAUGGAGUUUUGAAUUAUGUUAAAAUGCUAGGAUGCAUGGAAAGUUCUGUGUAUGCAGCCAACGGAGUGAGAACUAUGAUUAUUUUUCUCAGGCUGUUAAAAUAAAGACUUUAAAAAGCUUC
Molecule: long non-coding RNA, 3610 nt
Organism: Camelus dromedarius (Arabian camel)
Lineage: Eukaryota; Metazoa; Chordata; Mammalia; Artiodactyla; Camelidae
Exons: 3
Source: RefSeq, a predicted model, not a curated record